AGGGGGGAUGGGUGCACUGACUGAAUCCCAACCGGAAGUGAAUACCAGCCUUUUCCUGGAUCCGCCGACCCCUGACCCCAUCAUGAAUCAGAUGCCAGCUUUCCCUGCAUUGAGGGAGAUAGACAUCUCCAGCAUCCAGGCCCCAGAGCCCAGGAGCAGAGAGGAGUUCCUGCAGUAUGCCUGUACCCUGACCCUAGACACGAGGAAG
Long non-coding RNA from Oncorhynchus kisutch (coho salmon), 208 nucleotides. RefSeq lists it as uncharacterized. Lineage: Eukaryota; Metazoa; Chordata; Actinopteri; Salmoniformes; Salmonidae. The transcript is spliced from 3 exons. The record is from RefSeq and is a predicted model, not a curated record.